UACGUAGGGGGCAAGCGUUGUCCGGAUUUAUUGGGCGUAAAGAGCGUGUAGGCGGCUAGGUAGGUCCGUUGUGAAAACUCGAGGCUCAACCUCGAGACGUCGAUGGAAACCAUCUAGCUAGAGUCCGGAAGAGGAGAGUGGAAUUCCUGGUGUAGCGGUGAAAUGCGCAGAUAUCAGGAAGAACACCCGUGGCGAAGGCGGCUCUCUGGUACGUGACUGACGCUGAGACGCGAAAGCCAGGGGAGCAAACGGG
RNAcentral lists this ribosomal RNA (253 nucleotides) under uncultured bacterium. RNAcentral describes it as "partial 16S ribosomal RNA". It matches the Rfam family "Bacterial small subunit ribosomal RNA", at positions 524 to 776 of the family's 1533-position model. The record is from RNAcentral.